Molecule: ribosomal RNA, 483 nt
Filed under: Butyrivibrio hungatei
Lineage: Bacteria; Bacillati; Bacillota; Clostridia; Lachnospirales; Lachnospiraceae
Description: bacterial SSU rRNA
Rfam family: Bacterial small subunit ribosomal RNA
Source: RNAcentral
CUAUCAGCAGGGAAGAAAGGCUCGUAAGAGAGAUGACGGUACCUGACUAAGAAGCCCCGGCUAACUACGUGCCAGCAGCCGCGGUAAUACGUAGGGGGCAAGCGUUAUCCGGAUUUACUGGGUGUAAAGGGAGCGCAGACGGUGAUGCAAGUCUGAAGUGGGGCCCCACGUCGACCGUGGGCUUGCUUUGGAAACUGUAUGACUAGAGUACUGGAGAGGUAAGCGGAAUUCCUAGUGUAGCGGUGAAAUGCGUAGAUAUUGGAUAAGGAACAUCGGUGGCGAAGGCGGCUUACUGGACAGAGACUGACGUUGAGGCUCGAAGGCGGUGCAAGGAGCAGGAAGGAUUAGAUACCCUGGUAGUCCACGCGGUAAACGAUGAAUACUAGGUGUUGGGUGCCAUAGGCAUUCGUGACCGUCGCUAACGCAGUAAGUAUUCCACCUGGGGAGUACGUUCGCAAGAAUGAAACUCAAAGGAAUUGACGG